AAGAGAAACACGGUCAGUUAAGAGUCCUUUGGACUUCCUCCACAAGACUGUGACUAAUAGUUGUAUUCAUUAAAAGAUGCAGAUGCUUUGCUCCUAAGCGACAUACAGGCAGAGAAACAUAAUAGGGGCCGUUUAGGAAUCUGUAAUUGGUGGCAUCAAUAUUAUUUCUUUGACUAAAUGUAAAUGUAAAUGUUUAUUUCUUUGACUUAAUGUAAAUGUGAAUGUUUGCGCGCCUUUUUUGAUUUCCUGGCUAUCCCACACAAAAAACGUAAGCUAGUCUACGAAGCUAACAGGCAGAAGACUGUUUUGUCGUAAUGUGUGUGAAAAAGGGUUGAAUAUGCCAGGAGGGCAAAGAUAGACGAACCCCCCAAAACAGGAGAUCAUCUUGAAGGAUCACAUGGCUUCUUGACACUUCAAUUUAUCACGCCUACGGACAACUUAAAAUAAAUAAAAAAGUGUGUAG
This is a long non-coding RNA of Hypomesus transpacificus, 463 nucleotides long. RefSeq lists it as uncharacterized. The transcript has 3 exons. NCBI's taxonomy places the organism in Eukaryota, Metazoa, Chordata, Actinopteri, Osmeriformes, Osmeridae. The record is from RefSeq and is a predicted model, not a curated record.